Molecule: ribosomal RNA, 467 nt
Filed under: uncultured bacterium
Lineage: Bacteria
Description: partial 16S ribosomal RNA
Rfam family: Bacterial small subunit ribosomal RNA
Source: RNAcentral
GACGAACGCUGGCGGCGUGCUUAACACAUGCAAGUCGAACGGAAAGGCCCUGCUUUUGUGGGGUGCUCGAGUGGCGAACGGGUGAGUAACACGUGAGUAACCUGCCCUUGACUUUGGGAUAACUUCAGGAAACUGGGGCUAAUACCGGAUAGGAGCUCCUGCUGCAUGGUGGGGGUUGGAAAGUUUCGGCGGUUGGGGAUGGACUCGCGGCUUAUCAGCUUGUUGGUGGGGUAGUGGCUUACCAAGGCUUUGACGGGUAGCCGGCCUGAGAGGGUGACCGGCCACAUUGGGACUGAGAUACGGCCCAGACUCCUACGGGAGGCAGCAGUGGGGAAUAUUGCACAAUGGGCGGAAGCCUGAUGCAGCAACGCCGCGUGCGGGAUGACGGCCUUCGGGUGGUAAACCGCUUUCGCCAGUGACGAAGCGUGAGUGACGGUAAUGGGUAAAGAAGCACCGGCUAACUACGU